GAUGAACGCUGGCGGCGUGCCUAAUACAUGCAAGUCGAGCGAACAGACGAGGAGCUUGCCCCUCUGACGUUAGCGGCGGACGGGUGAGUAACACGUGGAUAACCUACCUAUAAGACUGGGAUAACUUCGGGAAACCGGAGCUAAUACCGGAUAAUAUAUUGAACCGCAUGGUUCAAUAGUGAAAGACGGUUUUGCUGUCACUUAUAGAUGGAUCCGCGCCGCAUUAGCUAGUUGGUAAGGUAACGGCUUACCAAGGCAACGAUGCGUAGCCGACCUGAGAGGGUGAUCGGCCACACUGGAACUGAGACACGGUCCAGACUCCUACGGGAGGCAGCAGUAGGGAAUCUUCCGCAAUGGGCGAAAGCUUGACGGAGCAACGCCGCGUGAGUGAUGAAGGUCUUCGGAUCGUAAAACUCUGUUAUUAGGGAAGAACAAAUGUGUAAGUAACGAUGCACGUCUUGACGGUACCUAAUCAGAAAGCCACGGCUAACUACGU
This 496-nucleotide ribosomal RNA is filed under the name uncultured bacterium. RNAcentral's name for it is "partial 16S ribosomal RNA". It matches the Rfam family "Bacterial small subunit ribosomal RNA", at positions 28 to 506 of the family's 1533-position model. The record is from RNAcentral.